Bufo bufo (common toad) is the source of this 145-nucleotide long non-coding RNA. RefSeq lists it as uncharacterized. The record is from RefSeq and is a predicted model, not a curated record. The transcript is spliced from 4 exons. NCBI's taxonomy places the organism in Eukaryota, Metazoa, Chordata, Amphibia, Anura, Bufonidae.
AUGGUCAUAUCAUCAGCGUGAUACAAGAAGAUGUUAUACCGUAUAACAUCUUCUUGGAUACAGUGAUAUGGACCAUGCUGGUAUAACCUGGGCAUCUCUAGUAUAUAAUUAUAUAUGUACAGCUGGGGCUGGGGAUCAUACAAAU